RNAcentral lists this ribosomal RNA (1551 nucleotides) under Triticum aestivum (bread wheat). RNAcentral's name for it is "partial small subunit ribosomal RNA". The record is from RNAcentral. Lineage: Eukaryota; Viridiplantae; Streptophyta; Magnoliopsida; Poales; Poaceae.
AUGGAGUGUCUCCGCCUGACGUCCGUUUCGGGCGCCGCAUGCGGCAGGCUGCAGGCGGCGGCGGCGGCCGUCGCUCUCAGGACAGCGGCCAACUCUGACGAGCUCCUCGCCCGCCUACUCCAUCAUGGCAGAAACCUGGUGUUGGACAACACUGACAUUCAGCAACCAGAUGAUGCUGCUGCUGAAGCUCACUUCUUCCUUCCCAAUGCCAAUUUGAAAGAACCUGCUGAGAAAAUGGUCAAUGUCCACAGACCUCUUUCUGAUCUUCACCAUGAAAUGGACGAUUUCUAUCCAGUUUGUUCUGUGAUGCCCAGCCAGAGUAUUACUGACAAGAAUCACAAUGUCAUAGUUACUCUGGAUCACUCUCAGCAAUCAAAUGCUAAUCCCUCCGGUAAAAAAUGUGUGAUAAUUACGAGCAGACGUUUCACUUCCCCUGUUUCUGCUGCUGACACAACUGCAGAAGCUCCACUUUCCAAUGAUUCUCCAGAUGUGCAGAUUUCUGAUGAAAGGAAGUUCGACGUGAGUUGCCGUCAAUUGUGUAAAAAUGUCGAUGAUGAUUCUAAUAGCAUUAUCAGUUCUGCAAAGUCUCAUGACAAUCGCUCUUCCGAUUAUACCCCCGCAUCCAAAGUUCAGUAUGUAAUCAAGGUUAGCACUAGUUCUUCUAGAAGAAAGAAAACACCUCAUGAUCCGAGGAGAGUUCUUCUCUCAUCCAGUCCUUCUGUCCCUGAAACAAAUCGAUUUCCAGUCUCUGCUCUUGAGAGGAGAUAUUAUGCGGUGUUUUGCAGACUUGCACGGAGUGAAAGAUAUCAGUGCAUGACUGCCAUUAUAUAUCGCAAGGUCCGCUGCUCCUACCUCUCUCUUGGUCAGUCAUUGAUGCCAGGGGGUCAUGUCAAUAACUUUCUGAUUUCUGUUUUCUGCCGGAAAUUGUUUGAUGAUUGCCAUCCAUCAGUUUCUAAAAAACAUUACUUCUUCUCUUAUAUUGGGGAAAACAUUCUAAAAUACAAUAAUAAAGAUCAGUUUAAACUCAUAGAAAAUACUUUUAAAGGUGCAAGUCUAGUAAAGAAAAUUGAUGCAUGUGAACUGCUAUUCUUUCCUAUAUGCCAUUGUAAGCACUGGUUUUUAUUUGUUGUCGACCUGCAAAACCGUCAAUUUGUAUUUAUGGAUUCCUUGUUCCAUAAGAAGUCUCGUUAUCAAGUUGUGGUCAGCGAGAUGCUUGUUGGUAAUUUCCAACAUUUGUGGAAGGAGAUAGUUGAUCCAGAGUAUAUCUUCGAUAAUUUCAGAAUUGUCUAUCCUGAUAUGCCAAGACAAGGAAACGGGAAUGAUUGCGGUGUCUUUGUGAUGAAAUGUAUGGAAAUCUGGACUCCUAGAGUUGUUCUUCAUGAUUAUUUCUCAAGAGUCAACAUUCCAAAUAUACGGAUACAAUAUGCGAAUCAGCUGUUCUUCAGUUCUAAGAAUGCCGCUGAUAAGUCUCUGGUAACACAUUUCCUUCGAGAGGGCAAAUUUCAUCGUGUCAGAAAGAGUGUAACUUCAGAGUCCAACGCGUAUCGGUAA